This 433-nucleotide ribosomal RNA is filed under the name uncultured bacterium. Its description in RNAcentral is "partial 16S ribosomal RNA". It matches the Rfam family "Bacterial small subunit ribosomal RNA", at positions 29 to 507 of the family's 1533-position model. The record is from RNAcentral.
AGCGAACGCUGGCGGCAGGCCUAACACAUGCAAGUCGAACGGAUCCUUCGGGAUGAGUGUCGGCCGGGGGCGUAACACGGGGUAACGUGCCCUUUGGUUCGGAACAACUCAGGGAAACUUGAGCUAAUAUCGGACGAGUCCCUCGUGGGAAUGAUUUAUCGCCAUUGGCGCGGCCCGCGUUUGAUUAGCUAGUUGGUGAGGUAACGGCCCACCAAGGCGACGAUCAGUAGCUGGUUUGAGAGGAUGAUCAGCCACACUGGGACUGAGACACGGCCCAGACUCGUACGGGAGGCAGCAGUGGGGAAUCUUGCGCAAUGGGCGAAAGCCUGACGCAGCCAGGCCGCGUGAAUGAUGAAGGUCUUAGGAUUGUAAAAUUCUUUCAGCGGGGACGAUAAUGACGGUACCCGCAGAAGAAGCUCCGGCUAACUUCGUG